Bos indicus x Bos taurus (hybrid cattle) is the source of this 471-nucleotide long non-coding RNA. The record is from Ensembl. Lineage: Eukaryota; Metazoa; Chordata; Mammalia; Artiodactyla; Bovidae.
UGUUGUCAGAACUCCUCAGUGGUAAAACCGUGUUUAUGUUUGUGCCUUUGGCAGGUCAUGAAGGAUGUCAGUUUGAGUGACUGAGAAAGUUGCGUUCCUAAGAAUUCAAAGAGAGUGCCUGGAGGUGGCAAGAGGAGAACCGGGUGGCGCGGGAGAGAGGGACACUCGGAGAGAAUAAAUUAGUUCUGGGCGCUUUGUCUGCAAACAACUGCAGGCCUACACUGUUUGGCUUCUUCAGACACAAGCGUCGGGGCAGUGAGUGAUGAUAGCUCUUCCUGGCUGAUCCCCUCACAAAUCCCGAAGCUCUCCACUACCUGCUCAAACGCAUCAGGAGAGUGAGUCACAUGGCGUCAUCUCCCUUUGUGCUGUAACAUGGACAUGCACAUUCACACUGCAAAGCCAUCGCCAAAACGAUGAAAUUGUUUCCCCCUCUAAAGGAACCAGGGUGGACUGUCGCAUGUUGACAAUAAC